This is a long non-coding RNA of Pieris brassicae (large cabbage white), 219 nucleotides long. RefSeq lists it as uncharacterized. The record is from RefSeq and is a predicted model, not a curated record. The transcript has 3 exons. NCBI's taxonomy places the organism in Eukaryota, Metazoa, Arthropoda, Insecta, Lepidoptera, Pieridae.
GUAUCAAACAUUGUCAAUAUGUCGAAUUAUAUUACACUAUUGUUUGUCAUAAUGGCAGCUCUUCUAAUUAUGGGCCUUGAGACCAGCGCCUGUGUAAUACCUGCAGUGAUUCGCGUCGAAAAUGAUCUGGCUAGACGCGUAUUGCGAAGGGGUAUUACGUUAGCGGGAUAGACGUCUAUAGAAAAUAUUCUGUAUGAAAAUAAUAAAGUAUAAAAAUCA